Molecule: ribosomal RNA, 675 nt
Filed under: Salmonella enterica subsp. enterica serovar Heidelberg
Lineage: Bacteria; Pseudomonadati; Pseudomonadota; Gammaproteobacteria; Enterobacterales; Enterobacteriaceae
Also listed under: 12 other names
Description: partial 23S ribosomal RNA
Rfam family: Bacterial large subunit ribosomal RNA
Source: RNAcentral
GUGGGUAGUUUGACUGGGGCGGUCUCCUCCUAAAGAGUAACGGAGGAGCACGAAGGUUGGCUAAUCCUGGUCGGACAUCAGGAGGUUAGUGCAAUGGCAUAAGCCAGCUUGACUGCGAGCGUGACGGCGCGAGCAGGUGCGAAAGCAGGUCAUAGUGAUCCGGUGGUUCUGAAUGGAAGGGCCAUCGCUCAACGGAUAAAAGGUACUCCGGGGAUAACAGGCUGAUACCGCCCAAGAGUUCAUAUCGACGGCGGUGUUUGGCACCUCGAUGUCGGCUCAUCACAUCCUGGGGCUGAAGUAGGUCCCAAGGGUAUGGCUGUUCGCCAUUUAAAGUGGUACGCGAGCUGGGUUUAGAACGUCGUGAGACAGUUCGGUCCCUAUCUGCCGUGGGCGCUGGAGAACUGAGGGGGGCUGCUCCUAGUACGAGAGGACCGGAGUGGACGCAUCACUGGUGUUCGGGUUGUCAUGCCAAUGGCACUGCCCGGUAGCUAAAUGCGGAAGAGAUAAGUGCUGAAAGCAUCUAAGCACGAAACUUGCCCCGAGAUGAGUUCUCCCUGAGACUUAGAGUCUCCUGAAGGAACGUUGAAGACGACGACGUUGAUAGGCCGGGUGUGUAAGCGCAGCGAUGCGUUGAGCUAACCGGUACUAAUGAACCGUGAGGCUUAACCUUACAAC